CACCGGGCUGGCGGAGUAGGCACUUCGGCCCUUGUGCCCGCUCUGCCAGCCUGGUGAG
Molecule: microRNA precursor, 58 nt
Filed under: Pteropus alecto (black flying fox)
Lineage: Eukaryota; Metazoa; Chordata; Mammalia; Chiroptera; Pteropodidae
Description: microRNA pal-mir-10004 precursor
Source: miRBase by way of RNAcentral